Molecule: ribosomal RNA, 496 nt
Filed under: uncultured bacterium
Lineage: Bacteria
Description: partial 16S ribosomal RNA
Rfam family: Bacterial small subunit ribosomal RNA
Source: RNAcentral
AUGAACGCUGGCGGCGUGCCUCAUACAUGCCAGUCGAGCGCACAGACGAGGAGCUUGCUCCUCUGACGUUAGCGGCGGACGGGUGAGUAACACGUGGAUAACCUACCUAUAAGACUGGGAUAACUUCGGGAAACCGGAGCUAAUACCGGAUAAUAUAUUGAACCGCAUGGUUCAAUAGUGAAAGACGGUUUUGCUGUCACUUAUAGAUGGAUCCGCGCCGCAUUAGCUAGUUGGUAAGGUAACGGCUUACCAAGGCGACGAUGCGUAGCCGACCUGAGAGGGUGAUCGGCCACACUGGAACUGAGACACGGUCCAGACUCCUACGGGAGGCAGCAGUAGGGAAUCUUCCGCAAUGGGCGAAAGCCUGACGGAGCAACGCCGCGUGAGUGAUGAAGGUCUUCGGAUCGUAAAACUCUGUUAUUAGGGAAGAACAAAUGUGUAAGUAAUUAUGCACGUCUUGACGGUACCUAAUCAGAAAGCCACGGCUAACUACGUG